This 444-nucleotide unclassified non-coding RNA is filed under the name uncultured Agaricales. RNAcentral describes it as "sequence contains ITS2". The stretch from base 1 to 154 matches the Rfam family "5.8S ribosomal RNA". Lineage: Eukaryota; Fungi; Basidiomycota; Agaricomycetes; Agaricales. The record is from RNAcentral.
AACUUGUUGCAAUGUGUCACUUGGCUCUCGCAUCGAUGAAGAACGCAGCGAAAUGCGAUAAGUAAUGUGAAUUGCAGAAUUCAGUGAAUCAUCGAAUCUUUGAACGCACCUUGCGCUCCUUGGUAUUCCGAGGAGCAUGCCUGUUUGAGUGUCAUUAAAUUCUCAACCUCAUUGAGCUUUUGUUAGCUAAAUGAGGCUUGGACUGUGGGGGAUUUUGUGCGGGCUUUCUUUUCAAAGUCGGCUCCCCUUAAAUGCAUUAGCAGGAAAACCUUUGUGGACCGUCUUUGGUGUGAUAAUUAUCUACGCCAUUGCCGUGAAGCAGCUUAUACAUGGGAUUUCCAGCUUCAAACCGUCCUUUUUCAGAGGACAAUACUUAAUUGACAUUUUGACCUCAAAUCAGGUAGGACUACCCGCUGAACUUAAGCAUAUCAAUAAGCGGAGGCU